CAAUUUUUUGAAUUAUCGAAGUUUCGAAAUAUUCGUUUUAACAAAAGCUCGAAUUGUGCGAUUCAAGAAAAAUCGACUUUUCUACGUACGGAAUUUGGGAAAACUUCCUUCAUAAAAGUUGUAGAGCUCGUCGAUAUGAUCGCGUGCAUAUGUCGAACGAAAUUUUUGGAGUUCGUACGAUUAUGUUACGAAUUUUGGAAAUAUGAGAUUCUUUUUAUAAUCUCUUUUCCUCGGAUUCUCUUUUAGAAAUUUCUUUUUCUUCCUUUUCCUUUUUCUUUUCCUUUCCUCCGGGUCUCCUUCCUUCUUUUUCUUUUUCUCUUUAUUUUUCUUCUUUCUCUCUCUCGCUCGACCGAAACCGAAAACAGAGCAAAGGCUCUUCGGUCUCUCUCUACCUCCACCGGCCACCAAACGGCGUCGAACCACUUCCUUUUGCUUCGUCUCAGCCUUGCGCAGCUGCCAGAGGCAGCCUUGCACCGUGACACGGCCACCAGCGGCUGCGGGAAGCUCCGCCCGGUUUGAGCUCGUUUUGGAAACAAGCUUGAUAUCUCUCGAUUCCGGCCACCAGUCCUCGUCAGACUUCUUCCAUUGGCUUCGCCUUGACCUUGCGCACCUGUCUGUGGCAGCCUUGCACCGCGGCGCGGCCUGUAGCGGCGGAGGGAAGCUCGGCCCGAUUUGAGUUCGAUUUUGAGUCAACGCCGAUAUCUCGAGUUCUAGGCGACCAAUCUUCAAUAUUCUUGGACUGGUGAACUCAGAUUGAGGAUAUGAACAAGUUUCAUGAAGAGAUCGAGCUGAGUGGUGGAACUUUUUACGUCGAAUGGAGCACCCGCCGGUUUCUGGAAAAUUUCCGGCCAAACCCAACUGUUCUAGGUGAUCGACGGUUUGAUUUGGCGGACGAUUCGUGAAAUUGUAUUUUGAGCUGUUAAGAAGACGCAGCGGGAAUUUAGAGCGGGAAAUCCUACAGGUCAGGAAGAUCAAGGCGGAGAUCGUGCGGGUUAGAGUUUUUGUUUCAGUUUACAGCUUUGUAAAUUGUGAGAUGUAUUAUUGAGAGUUGUGAAGUGUGGUUGUUGUGAGAAAAAAAUUCAGGACGUUUAUUCUAUUAAGUUGUAUAAUUCAUGUUUUCGGAUUUUAAUUGUAUUUAAAAUUCGGGGCGU
This is a long non-coding RNA of Rosa rugosa (rugosa rose), 1151 nucleotides long. RefSeq lists it as uncharacterized. The transcript has 3 exons. Lineage: Eukaryota; Viridiplantae; Streptophyta; Magnoliopsida; Rosales; Rosaceae. The record is from RefSeq and is a predicted model, not a curated record.